GAUGAAGAACGUAGUGAAAUGCGAUACGUAAUGUGAAUUGCAGAAUUCAGUGAAUCAUCGAGUCUUUGAACGCACAUUGCGCCCCCUGGUAUUCCGGGGGGCAUGCUUGUCCGAGCGUCAUUGCUGCCCUCAAGCACGGCUUGUGUGUUGGGCCUCCGUCCUCCUCCCGGGGGACGGGCCCGAAAGGCAGCGGCGGCACCGCGUCCGGUCCUCGAGCGUAUGGGGCUUCGUCACCCGCUCUUGUAGGCCCGGCCGGCGCUUGCCGACACAUCAAUCUUUUUUCCAGGUUGACCUCGGAUCAGGUAGGGAUACCCGCUGAACUUAAGCAUAUCAAUAAGCGGAGGA
RNAcentral lists this unclassified non-coding RNA (345 nucleotides) under soil metagenome. Its description in RNAcentral is "partial contains 5.8S ribosomal RNA, internal transcribed spacer 2, and large subunit ribosomal RNA". The stretch from base 1 to 120 matches the Rfam family "5.8S ribosomal RNA", at positions 35 to 154 of the family's 154-position model. The record is from RNAcentral.